Molecule: ribosomal RNA, 460 nt
Filed under: uncultured bacterium
Lineage: Bacteria
Description: partial 16S ribosomal RNA
Rfam family: Bacterial small subunit ribosomal RNA
Source: RNAcentral
CCUACGUGUGGCAGCAGUGAGGAAUAUUGGUCAAUGGACGAGAGUCUGAACCAGCCAAGUAGCGUGAAGGAUGACUGCCCUAUGGGUUGUAAACUUCUUUUAUAAAGGAAUAAAACGAGGCACGUGUGCCUUUUUGCAUGUACUUUAUGAAUAAGGAUCGGCUAACUCCGUGACAGCAGCCGCGGUAAUACGGAGGAUCCGAGCGUUAUCCGGAUUUAUUGGGUUUAAAGGGAGCGUAGAUGGGUUGUUAAGUCAGUUGUGAAAGUUUGCGGCUCAACCGUAAAAUUGCAAUUGAUACUGGCAGUCUUGAGUGGGCGAGAAGUAUGCGGAAUGCGUGGUGUAGCGGUGAAAUGCAUAGAUAUCACGCAGAACUCCGAUUGCGAAGGCAGCAUACCGGCGCCCAACUGACGCUGAAGCACGAAAGCGUGGGUAUCGAACAGGAUUAGAUACCCUUGUAGUC